AUUACAGAGGGUUUUGUGUGCUGCUGGAAAUGGGGAACAUUUAAUUACAGCACGCUCCCUCGAGACAGGAUGGGAUGGGUCAUACGAACACCACAAUCUGUCUGCUGCAGGCCCUGAAGACAGCAUCUUCUCUGAAUCUAAAUCUGCCUUCACCCAGUUUUCUUUGCAACAUUCAGAGACCUCAGCUAAAAUCAAGACCCUCCUAUGUCAGCCUUGAACAAGCACAGAGAAAAUGCAGCCACCUGUGGGAUUCAUCAUGUCCAUGCUUGACUGAAG
Molecule: long non-coding RNA, 276 nt
Filed under: Anas platyrhynchos platyrhynchos (common mallard)
Lineage: Eukaryota; Metazoa; Chordata; Aves; Anseriformes; Anatidae
Description: lncRNA (ENSAPLG00000023684.1)
Source: RNAcentral